AUGGCCGUCUUUAUUCCUGUAUUUACGGUUC
Molecule: non-coding RNA, 31 nt
Filed under: Mus musculus (house mouse)
Lineage: Eukaryota; Metazoa; Chordata; Mammalia; Rodentia; Muridae
Source: RNAcentral